This 74-nucleotide transfer RNA is filed under the name Marmota monax (woodchuck). RNAcentral's name for it is "tRNA.Ala". Lineage: Eukaryota; Metazoa; Chordata; Mammalia; Rodentia; Sciuridae. The record is from RNAcentral.
GUGGGGGUUAGGGCUCAGCGGUAGAGCACUCGCCUAGCACGUGUGAGGCCCUGGAUUCAAUCCUCAGCACCACA